GACGAACGCUGGCGGCGUGCUUAACACAUGCAAGUCGAACGGAAAGGCCCUGCUUUUGUGGGGUGCUCGAGCGGCGAACGGGUGAGUAACACGUGAGUAACCUGCCCGUGACUUUGGGAUAACUUCCGGAAACUGGGGCUAAUACCUGAUAGGAACUCCUGCUGCAUGGUGGGGGUUGGAAUGUUUCGGCGGUUGGGGAUGGACUGGCGGCUUAUCAGCUUGUUGGUGGGGUAGUGGCUUACCAAGGCUCUGACGGGUAGCCGGCAUGUGAGGGUGGCCGGCGACAUUGGGACUGAGGGAGGGCCCAGAAGCCUACGGGCGGCAGCAGUGGGGAGUAUUGCGCAGUGGGCGGAAGCCUGAUGCGGCGGCUCCGCGUGCGGGAUGACGGCCUUCGGGUUGUAAACCGCUUUCGCCUGUGACGAAGCGUGAGUGACGGUAAUGGGUAAAGAAGCACCGGCUAACUACGUG
Molecule: ribosomal RNA, 468 nt
Filed under: uncultured bacterium
Lineage: Bacteria
Description: partial 16S ribosomal RNA
Rfam family: Bacterial small subunit ribosomal RNA
Source: RNAcentral